UACGGAGGAUCCAAGCGUUAUCCGGAAUCAUUGGGUUUAAAGGGUCCGUAGGCGGUUUUGUAAGUCAGUGGUGAAAGCCCAUCGCUCAACGGUGGAACGGCCAUUGAUACUGCAAGACUUGAAUUAUUAGGAAGUAACUAGAAUAUGUAGUGUAGCGGUGAAAUGCUUAGAGAUUACAUGGAAUACCAAUUGCGAAGGCAGGUUACUACCAAUAUAUUGACGCUGAUGGACGAAAGCGUGGGGAGCGAACAGG
This 253-nucleotide ribosomal RNA is filed under the name uncultured bacterium. Its description in RNAcentral is "partial 16S ribosomal RNA". It matches the Rfam family "Bacterial small subunit ribosomal RNA", at positions 524 to 776 of the family's 1533-position model. The record is from RNAcentral.